UCUAGCCAUGGGCAGGUUGAAGGUUGGGUAACACUAACUGGAGGACCGAACCGACUAAUGUUGAAAAAUUAGCGGAUGACCUGUGGCUGGGGGUGAAAGGCCAAUCAAACCGGGAGAUAGCUGGUUCUCCCCGAAAGCUAUUUAGGUAGCGCCUCGUGAAUUCAUCUCCGGGGGUAGAGCACUGUUUCGGCUAGGGGGCCAUCCCGGCUUACCAACCCGAUGCAAACUGCGAAUACCGGAGAAUGUUAUCACGGGAGACACACGGCGGGUGCUAACGUCCGUCGUGAAGAGGGAAACAACCCAGACCGCCAGCUAAGGUCCCAAAGUCAUGGUUAAGUGGGAAACGAUGUGGGAAGGCCCAGACAGCCAGGAUGUUGGCUUAGAAGCAGCCAUCAUUUAAAGAAAGCGUAAUAGCUCACUGGUCGAGUCGGCCUGCGCGGAAGAUGUAACGGGGCUAAACCAUGCACCGAAGCUGCGGCAGCGACACUGUGUGUUGUUGGGUA
Molecule: ribosomal RNA, 503 nt
Filed under: Salmonella enterica
Lineage: Bacteria; Pseudomonadati; Pseudomonadota; Gammaproteobacteria; Enterobacterales; Enterobacteriaceae
Also listed under: 1 other name
Description: partial 23S ribosomal RNA
Rfam family: Bacterial large subunit ribosomal RNA
Source: RNAcentral